Molecule: non-coding RNA, 27 nt
Filed under: Mus musculus (house mouse)
Lineage: Eukaryota; Metazoa; Chordata; Mammalia; Rodentia; Muridae
Source: RNAcentral
UUUUGUCCAAUGAAAACGCCCCAUCAG